RNAcentral lists this ribosomal RNA (515 nucleotides) under uncultured bacterium. RNAcentral's name for it is "partial 16S ribosomal RNA". It matches the Rfam family "Bacterial small subunit ribosomal RNA", at positions 28 to 523 of the family's 1533-position model. The record is from RNAcentral.
GAUGAACGCUGGCGGCGUGCCUAAUACAUGCAAGUCGAGCGAAUGGAUUAAGAGCUUGCUCUUAUGAAGUUAGCGGCGGACGGGUGAGUAACACGUGGGUAACCUGCCCAUAAGACUGGGAUAACUCCGGGAAACCGGGGCAAAUACCGGAUAACAUUUUGACCCGCAUGGUUUGACAUUGAAAGGCGGCUUCGGCUGUCACUUAUGGAUGGACCCGCGUCGCAUUAGCUAGUUGGGGAGGUAACGGCUCACCAAGGCAACGAUGCGUAGCCGACCUGAGAGGGUGAUCGGCCACACUGGGACUGAGACACGGCCCAGACUCCUACGGGAGGCAGCAGUAGGGAAUCUUCCGCAAUGGACGAAAGUCUGACGGAGCAACGCCGCGUGAGUGAUGAAGGCUUUCGGGUCGUAAAACUCUGUUGUUAGGGAAGAACAAGUGCUAGUUGAAUAAGCUGGCACCUUGACGGUACCUAACCAGAAAGCCACGGCUAACUACGUGCCAGCCGCCGCAGUAA